RNAcentral lists this ribosomal RNA (484 nucleotides) under uncultured bacterium. RNAcentral describes it as "partial 16S ribosomal RNA". It matches the Rfam family "Bacterial small subunit ribosomal RNA", at positions 30 to 507 of the family's 1533-position model. The record is from RNAcentral.
AUUGAACGCUGGCGGCAGGCCUAACACAUGCAAGUCGAGCGGCAGCGCGGAGCCAGCCCUUGCAUUCAGCGGCGGACGGGUGAGUAAUGCGUCGGAAUCUGCCUGGUUGUGGGGGAUAACGUCGGGAAACGGGCGCUAAUACCGCAUACGUCCUGCGGGAGAAAGUGGGGGAUCUUAGGACCUCACGCAAACAGAUGAGCCUACGUCGGAUUAGCUAGUUGGUGGGGUAAAGGCCCACCAAGGCGACGAUCGGUAACUGGUCUGAGAGGAUGAUCAGCCACACUGGAACUGAGACACGGUCCAGACUCCUACGGGAGGCAGCAGUGGGGAAUAUUGGACAAUGGGCGAAAGCCUGAUCCAGCCAUGCCGCGUGUGUGAAGAAGGUCUUCGGAUUGUAAAGCACUUUUGUUUGGAAAGAAAGGCAUUGAGUUAAUACCUUCGGGGGUUGACGGUACCGGAAGAAUAAGCACCGGCUAACUUCGUG